Molecule: long non-coding RNA, 1714 nt
Organism: Hippocampus zosterae (dwarf seahorse)
Lineage: Eukaryota; Metazoa; Chordata; Actinopteri; Syngnathiformes; Syngnathidae
Exons: 2
Source: RefSeq, a predicted model, not a curated record
UGUACCUCUCUGGGCCAGGAGCUUCUUCUGGGCGGGGUCAUCACCAAGUGGCGGGUUCUCAUUGACGGAGCCGGAAGAGUCGGCAAAUGACAUCAACCUGACACACCCUGAAGUCUAAAGACAUGCAGAGAAAGGAACAACAAGGUCAGACAUUGAGGACACAUCAUGCCUUUUGAGAGAACCAGUCAGGUGGCCGCCCGGGUUCUGCAAAUGGUUUGAUGGCUCGACUGACGGAGACCCUGCAAAGUUAAAGAUGAAACACGUGAUUUUUCCAAGGUCAGAUUGAACCACUUCUCAACAACUCUUUUAAUCAAUGACAUCAUUACACAAACACGCCUCCUUGAUGCACAGAGCACACUUUUCAUAUUAAUUUAGCCUGAUACAGCUUGUUGGAUGUCAAUGUGCACUUCUCUGCAUUAUGUACACUAUGUCAGGACAGUUAUUCUAAGAUAUAUUGUAUAUAACAUAAGCUGGGCAAUUGUACUGGAUGCAUAACCCUAAGAUGAUUUAUCAAUAAUUCAUUGACUAAUAGUGAAGUCUAAUGGGCAAAAAAAAAUGGCUAGCCAGAAGCUGAACUGUACUAUGUUUGUUUAUGGACUCGGCAUGUGGCUCGAGGCAAUUACACUUCUUGUCCCUUACCUCAUAUCUUCUGUGUAUGAAGUCGAAUAAUCGCCCCCGACAUGCAGUAUUACAUAGUCAUUACCGCAUUUGGUUAUCAUCAUUUUUGUUUUGAAAAACUGUAGCCAGCGAAAGCCCGCCACGUACUAUAAAAUCAAUAUGUAGAGCUGGAUCUGGCCCCCGGGCUUCGACUUUAAGACCUGUGGGUUCAAGUCAAUGGAAUUACUGUUAAGUACCAGUUCUGGUCUCCACUCUUCAUGACUGAUGUGGCCAAACACAGCUUCUCCCUGAGGGACCAUGCUUCUGUUGGGCCAAUCACGAGCAGCUUGUGUUCUGCAGAUGACAAAAAAAGAGUUGCAUUAUUCCAGUUUAUGAUAAACCUAACUCUUCAUUUUAAAAUGAGCAAAAUGCUGCCAUUCCCCGGCCUGUCUUUACUGCAUGCUAACUCAAGCUGCAAUCCAAAUCCUUUGUACUCAUUGCACUGCUGAGUAGAAGCACGCGCGCACGCACACAGAGCGAGUGUGGCCAGCUGAAGUAUCUGUAAACAGAGGUGUCAGCUGGAGAGACCUGCAGGUUGAGCGGCGGUGCAUCCAAACUUUGUGACCCCCCACCCCCGCUAAAAACAAAACAAAAACAAAGAUAGGCGAAGCCACUCGCAAUCAUUCGGUUAGCACAUAGCAAGUCACAGCAACAUCUCCCGUGCGUAGACAUUACUCACUUCCAACGCCGUUUGCCAUCUUCCCGUCAUCCCCACACGCCGCACAUCCUGCCACACGCAAACCGCAGCAGUUAAUACCACUUGGAUUAUCACGACGCGUGAACGAGUAAACAAAACACAAGCGUGCCGGUUACCUUGACAGAAAAAAAACCGUGAACACUCCCCGAGGUUUUCCUCGUUGACGUUAGCUCGCGCGCCCCAUCUUCGUAUUGUGCGCCUUAGCUUAGCGUUAACUUCAAUAUCAAGUCGCUCCGUCAGAAUGCUGCAUUUGCUUCAGCGUCCCGGCUUGAUUCGAAGUCCGGCUGGGCCCACGUUCGAUAGCGAGCAGUCAGUCAAGAGGAGAAAAUCGAGCUAUGUGAUCGUACGAGUCACCGUCGU